GUGGAAUGUUCUACUGCUAGUGUUUGCCUUGUGAAUUAGGACAGAAUUUUCUGAGCUCAACUUGGAAAUACAAAGCAGAAAUUUUAAAGCUGUUCACACUUUGGGAUAAUUUUAUGUGUUAGCCAGAUUGGCAGCCUGAACAGAACAAAAAGGCUGACCUUUCUCCGAGAAGAGAGAAUUCUUCCUACCUGAUGGCCUUUGAACUUGGACAUCAGUUUUUUUCCUGCCCUCAGACUCAAAACAUUGACUCUUCUUGGGUCUUGAGCCUGCUGGAAUUCUGACUGGAAAUGCAAUGUUGGCUCUCUUGGAUCUUCCACUUGUGGAAUCAACCAGCAUAUUUUGAGAAUUCUCAGCCUAACCUUGCCAUGUGCCAGCUUCAGAGUCAAUUCAUCUCGAGGCAAGGGGACCAGCCUUCUGUAUUCUGGUAUCACUCAGUGACUGGCUAUGGAUUGCCCAGGGUUGGAAGGCUCAAGUGUAACCUCUGAGAUAAGAUGCUCCUGUUUCUUCAAGUCAUUUCCAGCUGAAGCACAGUAACCCUGAUACUGGCAUUCAGGGGUAAGACUGCCCUUUCCGAGGACCUGUUCAAAGUGAAAACUCAGAAAUGGGGUGGUAAGAACAUGUCUUCAAAGACCUCAUCCAAAAAUGCUAAGUUUUAAGGGGACAAGGCUAGAUUUAGAAGAAAGAAUCACUAAAAAAAAAAAAAAAAAAAAAAAAAAAAUAGUGUACUUCAAAGGAGGUGAGCGGUUGUUUUCUCUAUCUAGCAGGAAGUUAGAAAUGCAGAUCUGAAGCACAGAUACAUAUGGAUAUGGAACACUUCAACAUUAAUGUCAGCAAGAAGCUCUUGUUUGCACAAAACCCAUUCUGAUAACUGGCUUGCAUGACUUGUUCUGUAGACUAGGCAUUCUCUUGGUUACAGCAAGUCUGUGACAGGCAAGCACCUGCCAAUCACGGGAAGAAAUUGUUUUCCUCCAAGCAGGCCUGGUCGAAAGGUCCUUGGUCCUCUAGAACAGCUGCAGCCCAGUUUCUGGCACCCAUUCACCAGCUUCCUGUGGUUUGAGUAAUGAGAACAGUAACUGUGCUUUCUACUGAUUUUUUGUUUUGUUUUGUUUUGGCCAGCUUCGUUGCCUCUUUACAUCUCGACCUAAUUUCCAGGAAUUCUGGCGUUCUGUGAGUUUCCCAGGAGUGUUGUAUGAAUCUCUUUAUAUUUAAAUUAGUUGAAGUAGAUCCUGGUCUAGGAGUAUAAUUACCCAAGGAAACAGUAAAAUAAGAGAUCCAAGUAGGGCAUUGGGCAAAUUGGGAAAGCAAUAUCUGAGAGGAGAAAGUGAGGCAGGAAAUCUAGAAUGCCUGUCCCAUCACCAGGUGAGAUUCAAGUUCACAUACUAUUCUGUCAUCAGGGAGGGGUAGGUAUCUGGUCCUACUUGGUCUCUGGCUGGCUAUCUCAUCCUCUAUGUCCUCCAUCCCACACACUUGGUCCAAGAGGACAUGGUCUACAAGGCUAUCUCUCAGGUGUCCUUCUUCACUUGCUACUGAUAACAGAUUGGCCAUCUGUCCUCUGAAGCUCCCUGGUCCCUGAUCACUCCUCUUCUCUUUCCCUCCUCUUCUCAGCAUUUCUGAGCCUUGUGUGGGUCCCAGGAACUCUCAGGUGCUCCUUCCAUACCAUGCUGGUGUGAGGAGGUUCCUUCAAGGUUGCUCUCAGACCCAGAGUCCUGGAACCUCUGUCCAGCUACUGCCAGAAUGCCAUGUGCAGCCCAGAGCCACAGGCACUGGGAACUCUCUGAAGGCUGGUCACCACCCCAGGAAAUGGCCAGGCAACAGAGCACCAGGCAACAGACUGGGCAUUCUGUUUGAAUAAUUCCAUUGUCCUCCUCCCUUUUCUAGAAUUUCAAAUCAAGCUGGGGAAGCCAAAAACUGAUGUUUGAUGUAGACUUUAUAAGGAGUGUAGUUUGAAAAAUUCUCAUACAUUUCUAGUUGGCUUAUAAAUGAAUACCACUUCUUGGAGGACAAAUUUGGCAAUAUUAAACAAAUUUUAAAUACACAUGACCUUGAAUGGCAACUUAGCCUUAGGAAUUUAUACUACAGACAUAAUCACGCUCUCAGAAAAUGACUUUUUUAUGAAGUUAGUCAUUAUGGGAUUGUCUGUGUUAGUGAAAGACUGGAAACAACCUAAAUAACUCUCAAUAUGACACUGGUUAAAUAAAAAAUUAUAGUAAAUUCAUGUAAUGGAAUAUAAUGAAAGUAUGAAAAACAAAGAAGUGGCUUUUUAUAUACUGACUUGUGAAAUCUCCAAGAUAUAUCUGGAGGGUGACACCAAAACCAAUAAUACUGAUUGUGAAGAAAGUAAGUGGGAGAAUAACAUUCAGAGGAGGGAAGGAAAAUUUUUACCAGAUGUUCUUUUAUACUUCUUGAAUUCUGAACCAUGUGACUAUGAAGCCUAUAAUAUCUACACACUUUUAUCUUCAAAAACAUUUGUUAAUUUUGAAAUAUGCCAUUUUUCCUAAAAAGAAGUUUAUAAAAAUUAUAUAAUAAUAUAAAAAGUUGCUCCAAGCUGAGUAAUUAUUUUAGAAUAUCUACCUACCCCUGAAGCUAUGAUUGCUUCAGUUUUAAUGAGAACAGAGCCUUGGGGCAAAAAGAAGCAAUUAUUAAUUCCUCAGAAUAAGCACUUACUGGUACCAGUUUAAUAUUUAAAAAAAUACCAUCUCCUAUGUACAGCCAAGAGUUGGGAUUUGCAUCAUUCUUUACUCAGACCUUUGUGUGUUGUUUCUCUUUAGUUCAUCUCAAUAUUUACAGUAAAACUCAUUCUAAACCUGUCAUUCUACAGUUUUUGUAGUUUGCAUAAAAUUAUAUCACUUGAAUAUAAAAUGACAACCAGAGGCAAUCUUUUGGUGGUUCUCAGACAAUUAAAAGCAGCUCUCAGUUUUAUAGGCUGCUUAACAUAUACAGAGCAUGCUCUAGGCUCUUCGCUAUAUUUGUUUGGUUGGAUGAUUAUAUUAUCAUAUAACCCUAUUAAUCAACUACAGAUGAGGAAAUUGAGGCACAAGAUGUUCACCAAGGUCACAUGGUUAAGAAGUGCUGAAAGGAGGAUUCAAAUCACAGAUCUUGCUCUAAUAAUAAGAAUGGUUAUGAUAACUAGUAUCUACUGAGCAAUAAUUAGGUGUCAGACCCUGUUCUAAAAUUUUUCCAUGGAUUAACGAUUUUUGAGGAAUUAGCCAAAUUAAUCCUUAUACCAAUUCUAUGAGGUGGUAUCCUCCCAUUAGAUACGAGGGUUAUUAGCAUAGUCACUGCUGGCUGCUAUAACAUAACACCAGAGACCAGGUAGCUUAAACAUUAAUUUCUCAGAGUUCUAGAGGCUGGGACAUCCAAGAUCAAAGUGCAGGCAGAUUUGGAGUAUUGCGAGAGUUUGUUUCUUGGUUCAUAGAGGGAGGUGUUUUCAUUGUGUCCUUAUAUGGGAAGUGGGAUGGGCAUAAACAUUUAGUCUAGAGCAGGUAUCAAGGCACAGAAUGCUGAAGAAAUUUAUCACAUUCUAAACCAUUAUGAUAUGGUAUUUCAUCACCAAACAAACCCAAAAGACAAAUAAGUUUAUCCCUAUCUUUCAGUGAAAUUCCCUAGUUCACACAGUAAUGAGUAAUGGAGACAGGGUUUGCCUUCCUGGGCUCUUCCCAUGGCACCACUGUGUCCUCCCUAAAGAAAGAUCCCCAGAGCCCAUGGCCGACCACUGGGGUCUGGCAUUAACCAGCUGUUUGUUUUGUCCCAGUUGUCUAAUCUCUCUGAGCUUCAACUGGCACAGUUUUGAAAAGAGAGAGGAAACCAGACAGUCUCUACAAAUACUGACAACCCCAGGAGGUUCUGCCACCCAGCUUUCUCACUCCAUUCCUUCUCUCACAUUAGAAAUUCUACACCAAAAAACCCACAAAAGCAAAAACAAAAACAAAAACUCCCUAUUAACUUCAUAUUCUGGUGCUACAAGACUCAGGAAAAAAUGAGCUCUGGGCAUUUAAGAUUAAGGUUUGAAGUGACAGACAAGAAUUAACAUUUGGAGCUGGGUUCAAACCCUGGCAACUCCUGUGUAUCAGCUGUACCCUUCUCAACACCCGCUACCUGCACUCACUGCCUCCACCAACACCAUCCUGUGCCUCUCUGCUCAUGCUGAACCUUCUGUCUUCAGUACCAUCUCCAUCCCUUUCUACUUUGAGGACCCCAAUCUUUAAUAUUCUUCAAGACCCUUUUCACUGUCACUUCUCUGAGAAUCCUCCCUGUUCUCUCCUCUCCCCAUACAGGAAGUAAUCUUUCUUGCAUCUGGUUUAAUUUUUUCUCUAAAUGCUAAUGGAUGACAAAAGCAUAGGAAUCAUUGCCCUUUCAUUUAUUUUGUGCUAUCAUUCUAACAAUGUUUCUGGUUAAAUAAUUCCUCAUCAUCUCAGGUCAAUUUCGCCUGUUACCCUGGAAGCCCAUCUUAAUUUUUCACAUGUGAAACUAAUAAUGAGGUUAUUUUAUAAGCAAAAUAAUCCCAGUUUGUUUGACCUUUUUUAAAAGGGCAUUUUCCCCCUCUUACUAUCAUGGUUGCCUUUGUCUGGCUCUCUCCAACUUCUUUACUUCCCUCUCCUUCUUAAAUACUGUCUUUCUCAAUCUCGUUCCCUCCCUCCCUAUCUUCUCCUUCCUUCCUCUCCUCCUUCUCUCUGUCCUUCCUUUCUUUUUAAAUCUGUAAAUUCAAUUAAAUUUAGCAAGUAUUUGUUGAAGUCCAGCUAGAUACAGGACUCUAUUAUUGGUAUUAUAAAGAUUAAAAAAUUCAGAAAUCAUCUCUCCCAUCAAGGAAUUUAACGGUGUACUCAGAAAGAAAUAUGCAAAAACUAAUUAUGGCACAAUACAGUUUAAGACAUGUUUGGGAAAAUGGAAAGUCAUCUUCUUUCAAAACAAAUAAUGCAAUACACACAAAAGCUAUCUUAAAAAUAAGUUAAAGAAACGUAUAAAACAUUUAAAAAUUGUUGUUAGUUCUCCUAAGAGGACCCAAGAUACAAAUUAGUUAUAAUUUGAAGCUUCUUCCAAUUUUCAUAAAACAGAAAGCAAGUCCAUUGCUACUGUUAGUUCAAAAACUACUCAAAUACAUUUAUACCUAAAAGAUAAAGUACCUUUCUUCUAUAGUUAUUUAAGCAAAAAACAGUGUAAUUUUCAUUUAUGGUAUAAUAAUUAUUUCCUUUUUUAGGUUUGGUAAAUAUUAAGCAGCAUUUUUUUUUUUUAAGCUUCUUUAGGGCCACACCUGAGGUAUAUGGCUAGGGGUCAAAUGAGAGCUACAGAUGCAAGCCUACACCACAGCCAUAGCAAUGCCAGAUCUGAGCCGCAUCUGUGACCUAUACCAUAACUCACGGCAACGCCAGAUCCCCUACCCACUGAGCAAAGCCAGGGAUCAAACCCAUAUCCUCAUGGAUAAUAGUUAGAUUUGUUAUGGCUGAGUCAUGAUGGCUCCUUUAGCAGCUUUUUAAUGGAACCCAAGUGCUCUGACAAUAUUUAUAGCAAAAUGCUUGCUUUAUGUGGAAGAGCUUCAAAGGGGAACAGCACAAUAAAAUAGUGAGAAGCUAGUUAGCAUCCCAGGCAGUCCAGUUGAUGUUUUUAACUCUAACAGGCCAAAGAUUGGCUUAUAAUGUUCCCUGGCUUAUAUUCUCACAUUCUAGAACAUGCAGCUUUAAAAUCUUUGGAAUCUAAGCAAUGCUAGAGACUUCAGUGACCCAUCUUGGCCAGAGGUACGUGCCUACCAAUAUGUUGAACCCCACCAAGGCUAGAGUCUCCUUCCCUGGCAGUGCUAUAGGCAACUUUAUUCCUUUCUUUGUCUGUCUCAAAUGAGUUCCUCCAUAUUUUAUAUCCACCACUACCACACCCAAAAAAUAGAUCUUCAUUAUUAUGAACCUGUUAUUAUAUUAGGUUAAUAACAAUAAUUAAUGUACUGAUUUACUUUUUUAUUGAAGAAAUAGCAACAGUCCAAAUGACACUGUCUAGGUAACAUAGUGCGUUUCUAGAAAUUGGAAUUGUAACAUUUUUAUAGUUGUUUUUUGUUACCAAGAUCAGAGCACGUCUCAAACAUUAGAGAGCAAGCAUAAAGAGUAAAUCAAAAUAAUACAAAAAUGUGGUUCAACCACAGAGAGAGAGAGAGAGAGAGACGGAAAGAAGAAUCAGAAAAAGAGAGGGUGUUAUUCCACCCAUUCCUUACUUUACGAACAAAAUCCUACUAUCAUAUUGGCUUACUUUUUUUUUUUUUUUUUUGCUUAGCCUAACCAAAAGCCUACAUUUAAAAAUAUCUUACAUAUUGCAAAGGUACUUAAUGCAAAACUUAGUGAGCAACUGCUCCACUAAAAACAAUUUUGGAUAAUGAUUGCUACUAUACUGGCAUUUUUCAUCCAUAGUGUCAGUCACAUACAUAUUUAUAAUGUUCCAAUUCAUCAGCUUAGAAAAUCCAAACAGCAUUUAAAUGAAACACACUAGAGCUCUCACAUUAUUAACAACAACAGAAAACAUAAAUAUAACCUCCUUUUUCAUCCUGGGUGUCCUUAAAAAGAUUUGCAUUGUUUUUUAUUAUCCUAUUCACAUAAACUAUGCAAAAGGAAAUUUAACAUAGAACGUGGAGGUCUGAUUUAUUUUUAUUCCUUUUCAACACUGUCUUCUGAUGUGAGUUGGAAAUAAUAAUGAGUAACACUAUAUUUUAGUCAAUAAAAUCAAUAUUCUGUUUUUAAGAAAUUAAUUUUAGAAAAUGAAAAAAGACUAACAAAAGAAAAAAUAAUACAUUGGGAUUCUGGGUGAAUUUCAAAAAUUCUGUCAAUAGCAUAAAUAUAUUUUGGGACUAUUACAUAAGAAGAAUUUUAUUUGGCCUAUGUAUGUAUUUUUAUCUCUACAUGUUCUAUUUUGAGGAAUAUUGCUAGAACAGUUUGCUCCAGCCAGAAAUGUUUCUAAAGAAAACAAAUAAAGUCUAGGUGUUUUUUUCUCUUUAUAAUUGUAAAAUCGCUAGCUGCAAAAAAUUUUGUAUCAUAUGGAAAAGUAGAAAAAUAAUUGCUCAUAAAACUACUAUUAGCACUAAUUUGGCAUAAUUCCUUCUGGGUUUUUAAUGCAUAACUUUUGGUUUGGUGUUAUUUCUCUCCCACAAAAUAAUACAAUUUGGUAUCACCUUUUUUUUUUUUUUUUCACUAGCCUUAAGUGCAAGUAAAAGGAUGUUAGAAUGAUAUUUAAACUCCCAUCUCAGCUCUGCCUCUGGCUUAUUUUUGUCAAGGCUUACUUCUCUAAGCCUUAGGUUCUCAUCUAUAAAAUGGGGGUAAUACUGGCAUUUGUCUGUUGUGAUCUGACCUAACUGAAUGUGUAUCCUCACAAUUGUUAGGUUCUUUUGGGUGAAUAUUGGUGAUCUGCCAUAAUCAGGACUCCUCUCCAACUACCUGGCUGUCAGGGGAUGGGUAGCAAUGAGAGCAUGGCUCAGACUGGUGUCUGUCAAACAUACGGAUAUUUCAUGACGAUCAGGAACACUAGUUCUCUAUCUCUUUAGGUAACCUCUCAGCAGUUUUCCUGGAAGUUAAACUCCAAGGCAAAGAUGCUAACACUCUUCUAAGAUGAAGAUCAACCAUUCCUCUAGUUGGAAUAAAUAAUGAUAUCUAAAACACUAUUCCAGAGAUGUUAGGCUGCAGGGCUUUCCAGAUAUCAUACAUCAUUCAGGCAAACUUACAGGUGUCUCUAAAGUAUUUAUAACAGAUCAACAUAGUUGGAACAUCAUUCAUUUCACUCAUGAGAAAUUACCACUAACACUUCUUAUGUUAACUGACGAACUCUCUAAUUUAAAAAAUCAAACAGUGAUAUAUGAAAACUGGUAUGGAUAACCCUGGAGUAUAGAUUCCUGAUCAAUACCUUUCAACUACUAUCAAUCACUUAUGGAAUGUGUAUUUCUGCUUUGAAUAUUGAACUGCUGAUCAAGUUUGUUUGGAUUAGAAAUAAAAACUAAUGUACACAUGCUUAUAGUUCAAUGCCUAUGAUAAAGUAUUUUAAAUAAAAUUAUGGACAAUUUAAAGUUAUCUCAAGAGUUCUCUUCUUGGCUUAAUGGUUAACGAAUCCAACUAGGAACCAUGAGGUUGAGGGUUCGAU
Non-coding RNA from Sus scrofa (pig), 8100 nucleotides. The record is from RefSeq and is a predicted model, not a curated record. NCBI's taxonomy places the organism in Eukaryota, Metazoa, Chordata, Mammalia, Artiodactyla, Suidae.